CACGUAGGUGGCAAGCGUUAUCCGGAAUUAUUGGGCGUAAAGAGCGCGCAGGUGGUUGAUUAAGUCUUAUGUGAAAGCCCACGGCUUAACCGUGGAGGGUCAUUGGAAACUGGUCGACUUGAGUGCAGAAGAGGGAAGUGGAAUUCCAUGUGUAGCGGUGAAAUGCGUAGAGAUAUGGAGGAACACCAGUGGCGAAGGCGGCUUCCUGGUCUGUAACUGACACUGAGGCGCGAAAGCGUGGGGAGCAAACAGGAUUAGAUACCCU
RNAcentral lists this ribosomal RNA (265 nucleotides) under uncultured prokaryote. RNAcentral describes it as "partial 16S ribosomal RNA". It matches the Rfam family "Bacterial small subunit ribosomal RNA", at positions 524 to 788 of the family's 1533-position model. The record is from RNAcentral.